RNAcentral lists this ribosomal RNA (252 nucleotides) under uncultured soil bacterium. Its description in RNAcentral is "partial 16S ribosomal RNA". It matches the Rfam family "Bacterial small subunit ribosomal RNA", at positions 26 to 278 of the family's 1533-position model. The record is from RNAcentral.
AGGACGAACGCUGGCGGCGUGCUUAACACAUGCAAGUCGAACGGUGAUCCGGUGCUUGCACCGGUGAUCAGUGGCGAACGGGUGAGUAACACGUGAGUAACCUGCCCCCGACUCUGGGAUAACCCCGGGAAAUCGGAGCUAAUACCGGAUACGAGACGCACAGGCAUCUGUUGCGUCUGGAAAGAAUUUCGGUCGGGAUGGACUCGCGGCCUAUCAGCUAGUUGGUGGGGUAAUGGGCCCACCAAGGCGACG